RNAcentral lists this ribosomal RNA (253 nucleotides) under uncultured bacterium. Its description in RNAcentral is "partial 16S ribosomal RNA". It matches the Rfam family "Bacterial small subunit ribosomal RNA", at positions 524 to 776 of the family's 1533-position model. The record is from RNAcentral.
UACGAAGGGGGCUAGCGUUGUUCGGAAUUACUGGGCGUAAAGCGCACGCAGGCGGAUUGAUUAGUCAGGGGUGAAAUCCCAGGGCUCAACCUCGGAAUUGCCUUUGAUACUGUCAGUCUUGAGUCCGGGAGAGGUGAGUGGAAUUCCUAGUGUAGAGGUGAAAUUCGUAGAUAUUAGGAAGAACACCAGUGGCGAAGGCGGCUCACUGGCCCGGUACUGACGCUCAUGUGCGAAAGCGUGGGGAGCAAACAGG